This 253-nucleotide unclassified non-coding RNA is filed under the name uncultured fungus. Its description in RNAcentral is "sequence contains ITS1, 5.8S rRNA gene". The stretch from base 205 to 253 matches the Rfam family "5.8S ribosomal RNA", at positions 1 to 49 of the family's 154-position model. The record is from RNAcentral. Lineage: Eukaryota; Fungi.
UUUCCGUAGGUGAACCUGCGGAAGGAUCAUUACAGAGGUUUAUCCUUUCUUUGUGAAUUUAUUAUCUGGUGUGUAUGUUUUUAUGAGAGCGAGUGCGGAGCACGAGUUGAUAUCAUUUUGAAAGCAAUGAGUCGAAGCAUUCGUCAACACUACACAUAUGCACCAAACUUUACAUCAAAUAACGUCUGAAGAAAAGAAAUGAAAAACUUUCAACAAUGGAUCUCUUGGCUCUGGCAUCGAUGAAGAACGCAGC